CUCGCCUCCCGUGGCGCUCGGCCGAGGUGGCCUCCGCGUUGCGCCACCGAACGAGCUUGGGAGGCGCCGCGAAGGCACCGCGGGUCCGGGCGCGGCCCGGAAAAGAAGCGAGAAGGGCAGGGGACGGGCGCCGCCGAAGGUCCCGAAGGUAGCCUGCUGAAGCCCAGCAGGGGGCUCGGACGUCGCCCCGCCCCGGAACAUGGACGCAGGCUUCCCGCACCACCUUGGGGCAGACCUCCGCGGCCACCCCGGCCCCAUGUCCACUACCAGAGCAAAGCCCACGACAGUGGCCAGCCUUGCCACUCCCGGGACAGAAGCAGUGCCCCUCGGCCAAUGGCUCGGAGGAGGUUAGGAGCGACCUGCAGAUACCUGAUGGCCUUUGGCAAUUGGGAACUUUAUGGAACCGGGAUCAAGACUCAGGACCCAGGGGGCAGGUCUGAAAUACGGCUGAUUGGGUUUGCUCUUAACAAACAUAUGAUCAUCUCACAGACAUAAUAUCUCAUCCUGUUUUGUUAUCGAAACAUCACCUACGAUUUUGAAGGUGGUUCUCUUCAAAGAAACAACCAGAGAGCUCAGAUGCUAAGGGGAGGAGCCUGUGGGGAGCUAAGUCCUGGAAAGCUGUGUGUGCCUGUGAUCCUGGCUACUCCAUAGGAUGAGGCAGGAAGAUCUGGAAAGUUCAAGGCCAGCUCAAGCACCUUAGCUGGAAGUUCCAGGAGUCCAUAGGAAAGACAAUGGAGACACAUUCACUGAAGAUUGUCGGAGAAUGAAGUAACACGUAGGGAAAGGUCCAUCAUUGUCGAUGGGUGCGAUUUAAAAAACUACGGUGAAUACUGCUGUCUAGGGUCAUCCAACAGGAAGGCAGGCUUGUAAAAAUGUGACGCUGUGUCCUCGUCCUCCUUAUUCACUGGAUCUGGCAUGGAGUGACUUCUGACUCUUCCCCAAAGUCAAAAUGGCCAUGCAAGAUCAACCUUUUGAAUCAAUUCAGGACAUCAAGGCAGCCAUGACUAUGAAACUAAAGACACACACGAAAGUUGACUUCCAGAACUGCUUUAGAAGAUGGCAAGGACAGUGAGGUGGAAACAAGCCAAAUGUCCACUGACAUACGAAUGGGGAAACAAAUAUUAUUCAGCCUUUAAAAAGAAGGAAAAUCUGACUCAUGCUGUAACAUGAAUGAACCUUGAAGACAUGCAGAGUGAAAUAAACCAGACACAAAAAGAUAAACCCUAUGGGAUUCCACUUGUAUGAGGUAUCUAAAGUAGUCAAAGUCAUGGAAACAAAGCAAAAUGGUGAUUCCUCGCUGGAGCAAUUCUUCAGUAUUACCCCAUCAAAUAGGCUAAUAAAAAAUUUAAAAAUAUAGUAGUAAUUUAAAAGUUGGAACAGAUACUUUAUAAAAGAAGUCACAUGAACAGGAAGUGAUUAAAGAGCUGAUUAUUGAACAAGGAAACAAAUUAAACCCACAUGAGAUGCCACCAUGUACCUGCUAGAAAUGCUGAAAUUAAAUUACAUGAGGAUGUGGAGAAACUGAAGCUCAUAUAUUGCUGGUGAGAAUGUAAAAUGGUAGAAUCACUUGGGGAAAAGUUCUGGGAUUUUUUGUUUUAUAAAGUUAAACAUGCACAGGAAAACCAAGUAAUUCCACUCCUGUGUAUUUACCCAAGAAAAACUAAAACAGGUUCACAAAAACACUUGUACAGAAAUGUUCAUCACUGCUGUAUUUAUAAAUCUAAAAACAG
RNAcentral lists this long non-coding RNA (1730 nucleotides) under Heterocephalus glaber (naked mole-rat). RNAcentral describes it as "lncRNA (ENSHGLG00000044511.1)". Lineage: Eukaryota; Metazoa; Chordata; Mammalia; Rodentia; Bathyergidae. The record is from RNAcentral.